Molecule: long non-coding RNA, 363 nt
Organism: Phyllostomus discolor (pale spear-nosed bat)
Lineage: Eukaryota; Metazoa; Chordata; Mammalia; Chiroptera; Phyllostomidae
Exons: 4
Source: RefSeq, a predicted model, not a curated record
CAGGACCCACCGCAGCCCCGAAGGAGCCACAAGAGCCAUCCUGAGUGAAGGGGCAGGAAGCAGCCGUUACCCUGCAGGCUGCCCUGCACUCUGUUCUCCUGUCAGCUGACACUCGUGGGUUUUUCCGCCUUCUCGUACCCAGUGAAAUCACCAGUUUGUAAACCCUAGGAAAUAGACACUCCUGAGAAAUCAGAACUACCCUGGAAAGGGAGGGGCCUCGAGCUCUGUCCCAGCACCUAAAACCACGCUGCUCAGGGCUCUGCUUCAGGAAGCUUCCAGCUUCAUCCCUUGAGACCACACCUGCUCCCCAAAGCCAGAGAUGAUCAAGGAGGAACACGAGAUGGCGAACCGGGGGACUCCCCC